UGUAGAUCACUUGUAGGGUGUUGGAUCCCCUGGUACUAAAGUAAUGGAGGGUUGUGAGCCACCAUGUGGGUACUGGGAACUGAACUUGGGUCUUCUGGGAGAACACAUGCUCACAACCAUUGAGCCAUCUUUCUAACCCCAUGGAUUAUCUUUAAAAAUGGUAGCAAUGUUGAAUUACUUAGAGAAGUAACUCCUUUUUUAAAUUUAUGAAAUCUUUGCAGUAUAUAUCUUUAUCUUUCUGUUUUGGAGAAGCAUCAGCAUUACUGGGGAGAUACACAGGCAGCUAUGUAGAGAGGGACCAAAGAAAAAGGGAAUGCUGUUGACUCUGGGUGUUUCUUGUCUAGGAGACUGACUGGGUUUUGUAGACUAAAGAGAAUCUCCCUCCCACUUCUUUUUCCCUUUCUCUUUCUUACCUUAACUUCCCUCCUACCGUCUUGCUUGUCCUACUUAACCAUCCACUGUUUAUCCUUUGCUCAUAUUUUACUACUACAUUCAUAUAACUAUAGUCUUCUAUGAGUGGCUUAUUUUAUUGAGGUGUGUUCUUGUUUUUGCCUUGUGUAGACCAGGUUGGUCUUGAACUCACAGAGAUCUUCCUGCCUCUGCCUCCAAGACAUGCUGCCACACCUGGUGAGUUCUCUUUUUUAAGGUAGGUUCAUUUAUGAUACUCUAUGGUGUGUAUGACAGUCUUGCCUCUUUUAUGGUUGAGCAAUGAUCCAUUAUUGAAUCAACUGUGUCCAUUGGUUUGUUGAUGGAUUUUUUUGGUUGAUUACUCUUUAUUGGCUAUUUUGAAUGUUGCUGCUGAAAACUUUCAUGUUCUGUUUCAGGAGAGCCAGUGUUAUUUUCAAAGAAAUCGACAGCUUUUUGUUUGUCGGUUUUUUUUUUUUUCCCCUUUGUUUGAUUUUUUUGAGAAGGUUGUCUCGGAUUGGUCUGUAGAUCCGGCAGCCUCAAACUCACAGAAAGCUACCUGCCUCUGAGUGCCUUUGUGUACCAUUGCAGCUUUAACAUGAUAAAGCUUAAGUGAUAUCUGUCGUGGCCUAUCCUUUUAAAAAUCAAUAUUAGAAUAUAAAUGAGAUUCAUCUAGAGAUGUGUUUUCAUACCAUAUUAAUUCUGAUACAGAGCACUGUUCUUGAAAGAUUAAAACCCUUCCAGUAUGAACAAGAAUAAGAACCUUUAGAUAGUUGAGGAAUUUAUUAAUGUUUUGGUUAAGCAUAGAUAAUUUUGUUGUCUUCUUUGUGUAGCCUGCACUUAGUCUUUUAACCACAAGAUGGUGGCCUUCUUCCAGGCAGGCUGAUUCAAGGUGGAGUUUUCUUAGGAAAGCAGGGACUGAAUUUCAUGUUCAUGCAUAUGCACCGCUAUUUAUUUAUUCAUUUAUUCAUUCAUUUAGUUCUGUCAGUGGGUCUCACUGUAUUGGCCUGGCACUUGCUCAGUAGACCAGGCUGGCCUUGAACUCACAGUAUUGGGAUUGAACAAAGGCCUGCACCACCACUUCCCGCCCAGAACUAUCUCUUUAAAGUUUACAGCUUCAGUAGGAGGACCUGUGGGAGGCAGGAGGGAGAAAGAGGUUGUAAUUUGGAGUGGGGAUUCGAUGGCAUGCUGCCUUCUCACAAGGAGGUGUUGAUUUGACUGGAUAUUGUGAGGGUCAUGGGUAAUCAUAGCUGCUCUGAUGUCAAGACAACAGUGGCCCGGUCUUGUUCAGAGGAAAGUGUUCUAUAAGCUCAGUCCCCUCUAGCUCUUACAUUGUAUCUGUUUUCUCUUCCAUGAUGUUUCCUGAGCUUUGGAGAGGGUGAGGUAGAUGUAUGAUUAUUUUAUCUCUUUUAGGGCUGAGCAGUGGUUCACUCUGUUCCAGCAAUAGUCACUUACUCUUGAGCAAUUGACCUGUUAGGAAUCUCCACAGUAAUGCCACUUACUGCAAAAACAAGCUUUCUUGACUGAGGCCUAGAGCAGCAGUAAUCUAUGCAUAUGUAAGCAUAAAUGUUUAGAAGAAUUGAAAGCUCUCUUUUGUAUAAAUCCUUUUAAAUAAAGAUAAAAAAAUUA
Molecule: long non-coding RNA, 2034 nt
Organism: Alexandromys fortis (reed vole)
Lineage: Eukaryota; Metazoa; Chordata; Mammalia; Rodentia; Cricetidae
Exons: 2
Source: RefSeq, a predicted model, not a curated record